UGAAUACGAGAUGCUACGGCGUCGAAGCAGUGUAUGUCAGACUUCCAAGAAAAGCUCGCAAUGUCAUAAAUAAAGAAUGCCUGUACCAUAACCGACACAGGUGGGUAGGUAGAGUAUACUAAGGGGCGCGAGAUAACUCUUUCUAAGGAACUCGGCAAAAUAACUCCGUAACUUCGGGAGAAGGAGUGCCUUCUAUUAGAAGGUUGCAAUAACAAGAUCCAAGCAACUGUUUAUCAAAAACACAGGUCUCCGCUAAGUCGUAAGACGAUGUAUGGGGGCUGACGCCUGCCCAGUGCCAGAAGGUUAAAGAAGUUGGUUAGCUUUGGCGAAGCUGAUGACUGAAGCCCUGGUGAACGGCGGCCGUAACAAUAACGGUCCUAAGGUAGCGAAAUUCCUUGUCGGGUAAGUUCCGACCCGCACGAAAGGCGUAAUGAUUUGGAUACUGUCUCGGAGAGGGACUCGGUGAAAUAGACUUGUCUGUGAAGAUGCGGACUACCUGCACCAGGACAGAAAGACCCUAUGAAGCUUUACUGUAACUUGAAAUUGAAAUUGGACUUUAUUUGCGCAGCAUAGGUGGAAGGCGUUGAGAUUACUCUUGCGGGAGUACUGGAGCCAUCAGUGAGAUACCACUCCUAUAAUGUUAGAUUUCUAACUUUGGAUCAUGAUCUGGUCAAAGAACAGUUUCAGGCGGGCAGUUUGACUGGGGCGGUCGCCUCCCAAAUGGUAACGGAGGCGUACAAAGGUUUCCUCUGAACGGGUAGAAAUCGUAUCUAGAGUGUAAAGGCAUAAGGAAGCUUGACUGUGAGACCUACAAGUCGAGCAGGGACGAAAGUCGGUCUUAGUGAUCUGACGGUGCUGAGUGGAAAGGCCGUCACUCAACGGAUAAAAGUUACUCUAGGAUAACAGGCUGAUCUCCCCCAAGAGUUCACAUCGACGGGGAGGUUUGGCACCUCGAUGUCGGCUCAUCGCAUCCUGGGGCGGUAGUACGUCCCAAGGGUUGGGCUGUUCGCCCAUGAAAGCGGUACGCGAGCUGGGUUCAGAACGUCGUGAGACAGUUCGGUCCAUAUCCGGUGUAGGCGUUAGAAUAUUGAGAGGAGCCUUCUUUAGUACGAGAGGACCGAGAAGGACAUACCUCUGGUGUACCAGUUAUCGUGCCAACGGUAAACGCUGGGUAGCUAUGUAUGGAGAGGAUAACCGCUGAAAGCAUCUAAGUGGGAAGCCCACCUCAAGAUGAGUAUUCUCA
This 1243-nucleotide ribosomal RNA is filed under the name metagenome. RNAcentral describes it as "bacterial LSU rRNA". It matches the Rfam family "Bacterial large subunit ribosomal RNA", at positions 1564 to 2816 of the family's 2925-position model. The record is from RNAcentral.